GCCUUCUGCCUAGUGGGAAGAAGAAGUCUCUCAGAGAUAGUCGGGGUCUCUUGGCCAUGGAGGCUGCCAGAAACAGGUAACUUGCUUGUGUUUCUGUGGUGCGACCUUCUAUGGCUAUUUUGUGAGCCUACGUGUACUCUUCAAGAAGUAGAGUUCCAGCAAGCGGUAUGGCUCUAUGGGCAAGGAAAUCAUUCCUCACCAAGGAAGGAGGCUAGGGGAUGAGACGUGCCCAUUCGCCGAGCAUGCGUGAACAACAAAGUGCUUUUGAUGAGCAAUAUACUCACGGCAAUGUCCCCCCCCCAAAAGCAGAGAAAAUACAGAAGGAUAAAGAACUGUGAAAAGGUCAUGUACUUUGGAGUUGGGCAGAAGUGAGUGUGAGCUGCAUUGCUCCUUCCUGGUGAGGAAGCUUUGUGGCCAGCGCUGCGUCUGUUGGAUGAGGCU
Long non-coding RNA from Mus pahari (shrew mouse), 441 nucleotides. RefSeq lists it as uncharacterized. The transcript is spliced from 4 exons. The record is from RefSeq and is a predicted model, not a curated record. Lineage: Eukaryota; Metazoa; Chordata; Mammalia; Rodentia; Muridae.